RNAcentral lists this ribosomal RNA (619 nucleotides) under Bacillus sp. Ri3Ps_5317. RNAcentral's name for it is "bacterial SSU rRNA". It matches the Rfam family "Bacterial small subunit ribosomal RNA", at positions 392 to 999 of the family's 1533-position model. The record is from RNAcentral. Lineage: Bacteria; Bacillati; Bacillota; Bacilli; Caryophanales; Bacillaceae.
CAACGCCGCGUGAACGGAUGAAGGCCUCUCGGGUCGUAAAGUUCUGUUGUUAGGGAAGAACAAGUGCUAGUUAAAUAAGCUGGCACCUUGACGGUACCUAACCAGAAAGCCACGGCUAACUACGUGCCAGCAGCCGCGGUAAUACGUAGGUGGCAAGCGUUGUCCGGAAUUAUUGGGCGUAAAGCGCGCGCAGGCGGUUUCUUAAGUCUGAUGUGAAAGCCCCCGGCUCAACCGGGGAGGGUCAUUGGAAACUGGGAAAUUUGAGUGCAGAAGAGGAAAGUGGAAUUCCAAGUGUAGCGGUGAAAUGCGUAGAGAUUUGGAGGAACACCAGUGGCGAAGGCGACUUUCUGGUCUGUAACUGACGCUGAGGCGCGAAAGCGUGGGGAGCAAACAGGAUUAGAUACCCUGGUAGUCCACGCUGUAAACGAUGAGUGCUAAGUGUUAGAGGGUUUCCGCCCUUUAGUGCUGAAGUUAACGCAUUAAGCACUCCGCCUGGGGAGUACGGUCGCAAGACUGAAACUCAAAGGAAUUGACGGGGGCCCGCACAAGUGGUGGAGCAUGUGGUUUAAUUCGAAGCAACGCGAAGAACCUUACCAGGUCUUGACAUCCUCUGACAACC